AGGAAUUGAGUACUUGCCUUGCAGGUAAGUUUUGGAGGGUCUACAAAAUUUGCAGAUCUUAAAACAGCAGGAAAUUUUACAAAGCAUACUGUUCUAUCAAGUUUUUGUGAGGUUUUCAUUUUCCAAGCCAUUCCUGAAUACUAGAAGCCUAUAAUGAGUUGAAUCAGUUGAGUUAUGGUUUAUUUUGGUCCAGUUGGGGUAAGAUCUUUGAUAAUUGGUUUCUAUUGACAUUUCUUUGUUUCGAGUUUGGUUCAAUUGGAUUUCUUUUGGUCAUCUCUAGGCAAUUUUGCUGCUGAAACACUGUCCUUUUUACUGCUGUGCUGAAUUUGUUGUACCUCAUCUCCUCAUUAUUUUCUUCUUAUUCCCAUGUAUCCUUUUAAGCUCAUACUUGAAGACUACUCUCUGAUUUGAAAUUCAUGCUAAAUGAGGAAGAUAUUUGAAGUUGAAUUUAUUUUGAUUUUGUUUUGUUUUUUCCCCUAAGUUAGAACUAGAAUAAUACAUGUUGAUUGGGGCUUGUUCACUGAAUUUGAGGUGUAUAAAGGAGUUUACAGUUUUGAACUUGUACUUAAGAAAACAAUGGACUGUGAUUAGUACGCAAAUACUGCUGGAAAUAUUUAGCUUCCCUAUGCUUUCAUAGUCAUACAGGAAUACACUGUUGACUGGGUGAAUGGGUUUCUCAUGUUUAGUUUUCGUUCAGUCAUUCAUCAAUAUCGCCCAGGUCUGCACUUGCAUGAUUGAAAUAUGAUGCAAGGACCUUUUCAUAGUUAUCACGGGGAUUAUUACCUGUGUGUUUUUUGCUGCCU
Molecule: long non-coding RNA, 803 nt
Filed under: Nicotiana benthamiana
Lineage: Eukaryota; Viridiplantae; Streptophyta; Magnoliopsida; Solanales; Solanaceae
Description: long non-coding RNA (NBEN_LNC036050)
Source: RNAcentral